Lolium perenne is the source of this 1631-nucleotide long non-coding RNA. RefSeq lists it as uncharacterized. NCBI's taxonomy places the organism in Eukaryota, Viridiplantae, Streptophyta, Magnoliopsida, Poales, Poaceae. The record is from RefSeq and is a predicted model, not a curated record.
UAUUCAUAUCCCCUUCCUUAUGUAUAGGAAAAAAAUUGAAGAAUCAGUUUCUCCAUUAAUACCCGUUCGUCUCAGCUAUGAGCUAUCCCCAAAUAUCGCUUUUGGAUCUGGAUUAGCGGAGUCGGCAAUGAUAUUGAGAAGGAGCAGUCGUGGAGGCUUGCUUGUUGCCCGUUCUCUGCAGGAUUUUGCGAUUCCCGGCGUCGAUCUGUAGCGGCGGUUCCGCACCAGGAACUCGACCUCGCGCUUUUGCGGCCACCGCUAUUCCGCUAUUCGUGAGGUCGGCCAGGUUUCCUCCUCUGUCUGCCAUCGGCCCUGCUACAGCCGUGAGACAGAGUCGGAGGACCACGAUCCUGAUGAGGAUGUGUCUGCGGUUCUCGUCGACCUCACAAAGGGGGCGAAGCCGCUGUGCUCGCUGCCCAGCACGAUGUUGAGGUUGCGGAUUGAGCUCCCUUCGACCUUGCAGUGACGAUUUCCAUGGUGUGACCGCCGCUCAUGCUAUUGACAUUCUGGACCAUCAUGGCGCCGACCCUGAUGAAGAUGUCACGCACGAUAAUGCCCAGAUUUCACCAUUGAACUGAAACAUCAAAUAGAUAGUUAGGAAUACCUGGAUGGAGAUUCUUAUUCCUUUCGUACUGUUACGUGAUAGAUUUUGUAUGCAAACCUGGGUGAGUACAUGCAUGUUUGUGUCGAUGGGAUGCCAGCAAGACGGCCUGAUGCUUGAGGCGAUGUGAUGUCGGCAAGUCGUCAGGCGCUGCUGCAGUUGGCAUGUUGUGAUCGCCUAAAAAGAUGCAACAAUCAACGGAGAACGGUUUUAGAGAUUCUGAAUUCCAUAGUCUGGCUACUUCAAUUCCUCUGAUGGUAGAUUGAAUCUCACGCAAGGCUUUGCAUGUCAUUGCAGAUUUCACCAUUGAACUGAAGCAUCAAAUAGAUAGUUAGGAAUACCUGGAUGGAGAUGCUUAUUCCUUUCGUACUGUUACAUGAUAGAUUUUGUAUGAAAACCUGGGUGAGUACAGUCAUGUUUGUGUCGAUGGGAUGCCAGCAAGACGGCCUGAUGCUUGAGGCGAUGGGAUGUCGGCAAGUCGUCAGGCGCUACUGCAGUUGGCAUGCUGUGAUCACCUAAAAAGAUGCAACAGUCAACGGGAGAACGGUUUUAGAGAUUCUGAGUCCCAUAGUCUGGCUACUUCAAUUCCUCUGAUGGUAGAUUGAAUCUCACGCAAGGCUUUGCAUGUCAUUGCAGAUUUCACCAUUGAACUGAAACAUCAAAUAGAUAGUUAGGAAUACCUGGGUGGAGAUGCUUACUCCUUUCGUAUUGUUACAUGAUAGAUUUUGUAUGCAAACCUGGGUGAGUACAGUCAUGUUUGUGCCGCUACGAUGCCAGCAAGACGACCUGAUGCUUGAGGCGAUGGGAUGUCUGCAAGUCGGCAGGCGCUGCUGCAGAUGGCAUGUUGUGAUCACCUGAAGAAGAUGCAACAAUCAACCGAGAACGGUUCUAGAGAUUUUGUUGUUUUUUCGGAAAGAAAACUGGCAUUAUAUGGAGUAUAUAUCUGUAGGCGUGCAUGUCUUUUGAAUUUUUAUUACGGAGGAGGCAUGUUCCUAUGGAAACACGAUAUGUGGAGAUUAAUUCCGGGAGU